This 473-nucleotide ribosomal RNA is filed under the name uncultured bacterium. RNAcentral describes it as "bacterial SSU rRNA". It matches the Rfam family "Bacterial small subunit ribosomal RNA", at positions 335 to 801 of the family's 1533-position model. The record is from RNAcentral.
ACUCCUACGGGAGGCAGCAGUAGGGAAUCUUCCACAAUGGGCGCAAGCCUGAUGGAGCAACACCGCGUGAGUGAAGAAGGGUUUCGGCUCGUAAAGCUCUGUUGUUAAAGAAGAACACGUAUGAGAGUAACUGUUCAUACGUUGACGGUAUUUAACCAGAAAGUCACGGCUAACUACGUGCCAGCAGCCGCGGUAAUACGUAGGUGGCAAGCGUUAUCCGGAUUUAUUGGGCGUAAAGAGAGUGCAGGCGGUUUUCUAAGUCUGAUGUGAAAGCCUUCGGCUUAACCGGAGAAGUACAUCGGAAACUGGAUAACUUGAGUGCAGAAGAGGGUAGUGGAACUCCAUGUGUAGCGGUGGAAUGCGUAGAUAUAUGGAAGAACACCAGUGGCGAAGGCGGCUACCUGGUCUGCAACUGACGCUGAGACUCGAAAGCAUGGGUAGCGAACAGGAUUAGAUACCCUGGUAGGAUAGCG